CAGAGUUUGAUCCGGCUAAGGAUGAACGCUAGCUACAGGCUUAACACACGCAAGUCGAGGGGCAGCAUGAACUUAGCUUGCUAAGUUUGAUGGCGACCGGCGCACGGGUGAGUAACACGUAUCCAACCUGCCGAUGACUCGGGGAUAGCCUUUCGAAAGAAAGAUUAAUACCCGAUGGCAUAGUUCUUCCGCAUGGUAGAACUAUUAAAGAAUUUCGGUCAUCGAUGGGGAUGCGUUCCAUUAGGUUGUUGGCGGGGUAACGG
RNAcentral lists this ribosomal RNA (263 nucleotides) under uncultured bacterium. Its description in RNAcentral is "partial 16S ribosomal RNA". It matches the Rfam family "Bacterial small subunit ribosomal RNA", at positions 8 to 263 of the family's 1533-position model. The record is from RNAcentral.